GACAGCAGCAGCCGCGGGAAUACGGAGGGUGCAAGCGUUAAUCGGAAUUACUGGGCGUAAAGCGCACGCAGGCGGUCUGACAAGUCAGAUGUGAAAUCCCCGGGCUUAACCUGGGAACUGCAUUUGAAACUGUCAGGCUGGAGUCUUGUAGAGGGGGGUGGAAUUCCAGGUGUAGCGGUGAAAUGCGUAGAGAUCUGGAGGAAUACCGGUGGCGAAGGCGGCCCCCUGGACAAAGACUGACGCUCAGGUGCGAAAGCGUGGGGAGCAAACAGGAUUAGAUACCCGAGUAGUCCCUGUCUCUUAUAC
This 306-nucleotide ribosomal RNA is filed under the name uncultured bacterium. RNAcentral describes it as "partial 16S ribosomal RNA". It matches the Rfam family "Bacterial small subunit ribosomal RNA", at positions 507 to 807 of the family's 1533-position model. The record is from RNAcentral.